CCUGUGAGGGUUGCUGGAGGUAUCAGAAGUGCGAAUGCUGACAUAAGUAACGAUAAAGCGGGUGAAAAGCCCGCUCGCCGGAAGACCAAGGGUUCCUGUCCAACGUUAAUCGGGGCAGGGUGAGUCGACCCCUAAGGCGAGGCCGAAAGGCGUAGUCGAUGGGAAACAGGUUAAUAUUCCUGUACUUGGUGUUACUGCGAAGGGGGGACGGAGAAGGCUAUGUUAGCCGGGCGACGGUUGUCCCGGUUUAAGCAUGUAGGCUGAUUGUCCAGGAAAAUCCGGAUAAUCAAGGCUGAGGUGUGAUGACGAGGCACUACGGUGCUGAAGUAACAAAUGCCCUGCUUCCAGGAAAAGCCUCUAAGCAUCAGGUAACAUCAAAUCGUACCCCAAACCGACACAGGUGGUCAGGUAGAGAAUACCAAGGCGCUUGAGAGAACUCGGGUGAAGGAACUAGGCAAAAUGGUGCCGUAACUUCGGGAGAAGGCACGCUGGUGUGUAGGUGAAGUCCCUGCGGAUGGAGCUGAGACCAGUCGAAGAUACCAGCUGGCUGCAACUGUUUAUUAAAAACACAGCACUGUGCAAACACGAAAGUGGACGUAUACGGUGUGACGCCUGCCCGGUGCCGGAAGGUUAAUUGAUGGGGUUAUCCGUAAGGAGAAGCUCUUGAUCGAAGCCCCGGUAAACGGCGGCCGUAACUAUAACGGUCCUAAGGUAGCGAAAUUCCUUGUCGGGUAAGUUCCGACCUGCACGAAUGGCGUAAUGAUGGCCAGGCUGUCUCCACCCGAGACUCAGUGAAAUUGAACUCGCUGUGAAGAUGCAGUGUACCCGCGGCAAGACGGAAAGACCCCGUGAACCUUUACUAUAGCUUGACACUGAACAUUGAGCCUUGAUGUGUAGGAUAGGUGGGAGGCUUUGAAGCGUGGACGCCAGUCUGCGUGGAGCCAACCUUGAAAUACCACCCUUUAAUGUUUGAUGUUCUAACGUUGGCCCCUUACCGGGGUUGCGGACAGUGUCUGGUGGGUAGUUUGACUGGGGCGGUCUCCUCCCAAAGCGUAACGGAGGAGCACGAAGGUUAGCUAAUCCUGGUCGGACAUCAGGAGGUUAGUGCAAUGGCAUAAGCUAGCUUGACUGCGAGCGUGACGGCGCGAGCAGGUGCGAAAGCAGGUCAUAGUGAUCCGGUGGUUCUGAAUGGAAGGGCCAUCGCUCAACGGAUAAAAGGUACUCCGGGGAUAACAGGCUGAUACCGCCCAAGAGUUCAUAUCGACGGCGGUGUUUGGCACCUCGAUGUCGGCUCAUCACAUCCUGGGGCUGAAGUAGGUCCCAAGGGUAUGGCUGUUCGCCAUUUAAAGUGGUACGCGAGCUGGGUUUAGAACGUCGUGAGACAGUUCGGUCCCUAUCUGCCGUGGGCGCUGGAGAAUUGAGGGGGGCUGCUCCUAGUACGAGAGGACCGGAGUGGACGCAUCACUGGUGUUCGGGUUGUCAUGCCAAUGGCACUGCCCGGUAGCUAAAUGCGGAAGAGAUAAGUGCUGAAAGCAUCUAAGCACGAAACUUGCCCCGAGAUGAGUUCUCCCUGAGACUU
This 1579-nucleotide ribosomal RNA is filed under the name Klebsiella pneumoniae. RNAcentral describes it as "partial 23S ribosomal RNA". It matches the Rfam family "Bacterial large subunit ribosomal RNA", at positions 1260 to 2823 of the family's 2925-position model. The record is from RNAcentral. Lineage: Bacteria; Pseudomonadati; Pseudomonadota; Gammaproteobacteria; Enterobacterales; Enterobacteriaceae.